UACGGGGGGGGGCAAGCGUUGUUCGGAAUUACUGGGCGUAAAGGGCUCGUAGGCGGCCAACUAAGUCAGACGUGAAAUCCCUCGGCUUAACCGGGGAACUGCGUCUGAUACUGGAUGGCUUGAGAUUGGGAGAGGGAUGCGGAAUUCCAGGUGUAGCGGUGAAAUGCGUAGAUAUCUGGAGGAACACCGGUGGCGAAGGCGGCAUCCUGGACCAACACUGACGCUGAGACGCGAAAGCGUGGGGAGCGAACAGG
RNAcentral lists this ribosomal RNA (254 nucleotides) under uncultured bacterium. RNAcentral describes it as "partial 16S ribosomal RNA". It matches the Rfam family "Bacterial small subunit ribosomal RNA", at positions 524 to 776 of the family's 1533-position model. The record is from RNAcentral.